RNAcentral lists this transfer RNA (75 nucleotides) under Lacunisphaera sp. RNAcentral's name for it is "tRNA-Asn". It matches the Rfam family "tRNA". Rfam says of the family: Transfer RNA (tRNA) molecules are approximately 80 nucleotides in length. RNAcentral also lists the same sequence under 2 other names. Lineage: Bacteria; Pseudomonadati; Verrucomicrobiota; Opitutia; Opitutales; Opitutaceae. The record is from RNAcentral.
UGCCCGGUAGCUCAGUGGCAGAGCAGGUGACUGUUAAUCACUUGGUCGAAGGUUCGAUCCCUUCCCGGGCAGCCA